CCCGGGGGCGGUCGCGCGCGGUAUUCCGGGAGGCACGCGCCGGGUCGCGCGCGCCGACUAUUCAAACGCGGAACAGUUUGCCUCGAAUAACGUCGACAACGCUUACCUUCAGUCGGCGGCUAGUUUGUGUCCGAAGUGCUGAAUCUCAUUGCGGGGCUGAGAGGAGGAGAAGAGGAGGGAAGAAUACAUGGCGAGUCCAAGCUGCAGAUUAUGAACCGUUUUUGGUGUCUUGACGCGCAGUGUCUCAGGGGAGUCGACGGCAGCUGUGGACGGCACAAGCUCAGCUUUUCUCCGAUAGUUCGAGAAAGACCACUACAAAUGAGCGAUAUUUUGCACUGUUAUACAAUUUAAUAAAUGAGAAACUGAU
Nerophis ophidion (straightnose pipefish) is the source of this 367-nucleotide long non-coding RNA. RefSeq lists it as uncharacterized. NCBI's taxonomy places the organism in Eukaryota, Metazoa, Chordata, Actinopteri, Syngnathiformes, Syngnathidae. The record is from RefSeq and is a predicted model, not a curated record. The transcript has 5 exons.